RNAcentral lists this ribosomal RNA (420 nucleotides) under uncultured archaeon. Its description in RNAcentral is "partial 16S ribosomal RNA". It matches the Rfam family "Archaeal small subunit ribosomal RNA", at positions 323 to 746 of the family's 1478-position model. The record is from RNAcentral.
CUACGGGUCGCACCAGGUAGGAAUCUUUUACAAUGCACGCAAGUGUGAUACAUUGAGUUAGAGUGCCUUCCAUUGGAAGGCUUUUGCCAAAUCAAAAAAGUUUGGCGAAUAAGGACUGGGUAAGACGAGUGCCAGCCGCCGCGGUAAUACUCGCGGUCCAAGUCGCAGCCAUUUUUAUUGGGUCUAAAACAUCCGUAGCUUGCUUAGCAAGUUUUCUGUGAAAUUCUAUCUCUUAAGGGUAGAGCGAGCAGAAAAUACUACUAAGCUAGAGACUGGAAGACGUAACGAGUACGUUCAGAGUAACGGUUAAAUGUGUUAAUCCUGGGCGGACUAACAACAGCGAAGGCACGUUACGAGGACAGUUCUGACAGUAAGGGAUGAAGGCUAGGGGCGCAAAUGGGAUUAGAUACCCUCGUAGUC